This 72-nucleotide transfer RNA is filed under the name Candidatus Woesearchaeota archaeon. RNAcentral describes it as "tRNA-Gln". It matches the Rfam family "tRNA". From Rfam's summary of the family: Transfer RNA (tRNA) molecules are approximately 80 nucleotides in length. Their secondary structure includes four short double-helical elements and three loops (D, anti-codon, and T loops). Lineage: Archaea; Nanobdellati; Candidatus Woesearchaeota. The record is from RNAcentral.
AGCCCCGUGGUGUAGUGGCAAUCAUAGCGGCCUUUGGAGCCGUUGACGGCGGUUCGAAUCCGCCCGGGGCUA